RNAcentral lists this ribosomal RNA (417 nucleotides) under Microbacterium sp. Its description in RNAcentral is "bacterial SSU rRNA". It matches the Rfam family "Bacterial small subunit ribosomal RNA", at positions 78 to 509 of the family's 1533-position model. The record is from RNAcentral. Lineage: Bacteria; Bacillati; Actinomycetota; Actinomycetes; Micrococcales; Microbacteriaceae.
GCUUGCUUGGUGGAUCAGUGGCGAACGGGUGAGUAACACGUGAGCAACCUGCCCUGGACUCUGGGAUAAGCGCUGGAAACGGCGUCUAAUACUGGAUAUGAGCCUCUUCCGCAUGGUGGGGGUUGGAAAGAUUUUUUGGUCUGGGAUGGGCUCGCGGCCUAUCAGCUUGNNNGUGAGGUAAUGGCUCACCAAGGCGUCGACGGGUAGCCGGCCUGAGAGGGUGACCGGCCACACUGGGACUGAGACACGGCCCAGACUCCUACGGGAGGCAGCAGUGGGGAAUAUUGCACAAUGGGCGAAAGCCUGAUGCAGCAACGCCGCGUGAGGGAUGACGGCCUUCGGGUUGUAAACCUCUUUUAGCAGGGAAGAAGCGAAAGUGACGGUACCUGCAGAAAAAGCGCCGGCUAACUACGUGCC